GUAACUAUGUGUAUGAAAACAGAGUCUGUCAUAAGAAGGCUGGAGAUGGAUGGCUGAAGUUGCCUGAGAUCUGCCCAGCAGGGCAUGGCUUGGAUAAUGUUAUGUAUGUAAAUGGGGGAGCUGUGAGGUCAUGUGGAAUGACAAGCGGAAGAAUGUUCCGGAUAAAGAGUUGAGGCAUUCCGUGGGCCAUCUGUAUUUGUCUCAGGUUAAGCUCUCUCACAGGCUUAUUUUCAGGCAAAGCCCCCACCAAAAUAUGUCCUGAUGCACCAGAAAACCUGUUCCACUGCUACCAAGAAACAAAAGGCUAAAAUGCAGCACAAGCCACCACGUAAUGACGAGAAUCAUCUUGGUCUCUCAAACGGCUUAACCCUGGAGCAUGAGUGCUCAAGGUCUCCUCCAGCCUUCUGACUUGAGUGAUCCCCUCACCAAAUCGCUGCAAAGGAUUAGACCCUUUUAUGUGACAAACUCUCCGUUUAGAAUUUUGGCUUAAAGUUUGGUAGAAAUUUGAUUAUUUUUAGGUUGCCUUACAAAUGUAAGUAGAAAAACACUUGCUUGUGUUAUUUAUUUAGGCCUAGCCAAGCUCCCUCUAAAAUCUGCCCCGACACACCAGAAAACCUGUGCAAGUGCCACUAAGAAGCAAAAGGCUAAAAUGCCCUGCAAGCCACUCAGUACUGGUGGCGAGGGGAAAUGGCAAAUAAAAAACGCUGCGCAAGCCACCAAGCGAUUAUAGUGAGGAGGACCCUUCACAGCAGAAUCUUGAGCCUUCCUGCUCCAGGCAUGGGUCAUCUGGGAGCCAGAGGUCUCUUUCUGCUUCCUCAGAUGAGAGCCCCCUGACCAGACCCUUUUCCUAUGUCGGAAGCAAGUGUCACGACUUCUACAGAAGUUGAUGCCCCUCCUGGUUCGGGUGGUGCUCGGCGAUCGACGUCACCGGUCUUCUAGCCACCAUUGAUCAGUUUUUCAUUUUCCAUUGGUUUUGUCUUGUCUCCUUACACACCUGUUUCUUAUCCCAGUAAUUACAUGUUGUGUAUUUAACCCUCUGUUUCCCCUCAUAUCCUUGUUGGUGAUUGUUUGUUAUGUUAUGUACGUGUUGUUGAUGUAUCGGUGUGCGAUGGGGUUAUUGUUUACCCAGAUUAUUUUCUACGUUGGUUUUGGAGUUAGUUUUGUUAAUAAAUACUUUAUUUUUUAACCACUUUGGUUUCUCCUGCGCCUGACUUCCCUGCCACCUACAUACACAGAUUAUGACAGCAGGGGAAGAUAUCCAGGACCGAGUGAAGAGCGCAAUGCACAGGUCAACUAUAACCAUAUGUGACCGACCGUCUCGAUCUUAU
RNAcentral lists this long non-coding RNA (1328 nucleotides) under Salmo salar (Atlantic salmon). Its description in RNAcentral is "lncRNA (ENSSSAG00000090654.1)". The record is from RNAcentral. Lineage: Eukaryota; Metazoa; Chordata; Actinopteri; Salmoniformes; Salmonidae.